GUGAUAAGCUUAGGCUAAGAUGGUGGGAUUGUUGGUAGCUUUGGGAUUCAAGGCAAUAUAGGAGGAAGUGGUGGAAUUGGUACGCUGGGAAGUGGUGGAAGAAUGGGGGUAGGGUUAGGAAGUGGUGGAAUUGGUACUGGUACUCUAGGAAGUGGUGGAAGACUGGGGGUAAGGUUAGGAAGUGGUGGAAUUGGUAAUCUGGGAAGUGGUGGAAUUGGGAAUCCAGGAAGUGGUGGAAGAAUGGGGGGAAGUGGUGGAAUUGGUGGAAUUGGUGGAAUUGGUGGAAUAGUUACUUGCUGAAGAUUUCGAGCUGCUAGGCUAACCUCCAUGCUUGAAAAACCCAACAAAAUGAAACAAGCUAAUAAAAUGAAAACGUUGGAACCUGCCAUUUUUUUUGGAGAGAUGAACUAAAGAUUGAAGAUUUGAGUUGAGGUUUGCAUUGAGGAAAGCAGGAUUGCUUUUCAGGUAUUUAUAGCCACAUUUGAAAGACUUAAUUAAUUAUUUGUUUGAGAUAUUAUUCCCCUACUUAGCAUACUACCUUUUCUCACCCAUCUGUCAUCACCAACAAAAAGAAGAAGAAGAUAAAUUAGACUCAUCCUUAAACUUAAAAAUAUUCUGAAUGAGUCGAUUUGUCUAAUGUUAGUUAAAAAUUAAAUGCUUUUAAAUUUUGUGUGAACUAUAUCUUUCUAUUUCCAUUUACCUAAUGCCAGUUAAAAAAUAAAUAUUUUUUUAUAUAAUGAGUGUAUAUUUGACUUACGUAUGUGGCGCUCUAUUAAAAAAAAAAUUAAAUUAGGUGGAUCAAAUUUAAAUAUUAGAUAACUAUACAUGUUGGUACUUAAACUUGGUAUUUAAGAUUUUUUGUUGUCCAAUUAAAGGUUGAAUUUAAAUUAGAUAGUUGAACUUGAUUUCUUAGUUCAAAUUCCAAGCUUAGAUACCAAAAUGUUUGGUAUAAUAUUAAAUUAAAAAAAUUCAAGAUGUAAAAUACUAAUUUAACAUUUAAACUAGUUGCCCCAUACAGCUACAAUGGUAAUGAUAGAAGAAAAGUAAUUGAAUGGGAUUAGGAGAUGAAGAUCCUAGUAAAGCCACCUCUAGAGGUAUGAGAGUUGCGACCACUCUAUAAUUGAAUGCUACAAAAAUGGUUAUAUCUAGGAAUCUUUCGCCAUUAGCUAAUAAUGGAAAUAGCUAUGUAUCACUUAAAAAACAACAAUUCAUAUUUUCUUGAAAUAUAUUCAAAAAAUUGAAAAAUAUAAAAAAUAUCAUUUUUCUAAAAAUCCAAAAAUUUUAUGUGAAUAUCAACAAAUUCAGAAACUAAAAGAUAUGGAAAGCUUUAAAGUUUUUCCAAAAAGAUAGAAAUUUGCAGAAAAUUAGGUAUUUAAGAUUCCAAUAUUUUUAUUUCCCUUCUUUCCUGAUUGGAGAAAAUAUGAAUUAGGUGACGCCAUCGUUAACAAUUGGGGCAAGGUAAGACACGGUUGGAAACUUCAAGUAGGUGUAAUUUUGGGGAAAUAUUACAUUGUUUAAUAAUGAAUAUUGACAUGAUUUACCCUGAGUUAAAUCAAUUAUAUUUUACUUAUAUUUUCUAUACAAAUUUUAUACAAGCCUAAAUUAAUCAUAUUCAAUCAUAUCAAUCUCAAUAUUUUGAAUAAGAUAAUAAUAUUUUCUUAAAACUAUAACUAUAUAAAGUAUUGUAAAAAUAAUUAUUCAAUUAUACAGCUAUUUUAUUUGUAUAAUUAUAAUUAACAUAACCUUCUCCAUCAUAUAAUUAAAAUUUGUUCAACUUAUAAUUACAACAACUUUCCGUGAAGAAAAGAGAGAGACACAAAUACAAACUAAUGAGAUUAAAUAAAUCUCAAAUAUAAAAUAUUCUUCAAUAAACAUCAUUAAUCAAUCUCAAAAGAAACAAGAAAAGAAAUUCAUAAAUUAAACAAUAAGAAUAUAAUAUAACAAUCCAUUAUUUAAUAAAUUCAAAAAAAAAAAUCACAUUUAUAUUUUAAAUUUUAUUGGUCUAAUUUUAGAUAGGUUUAUAAACUUCAAAUGAUUUAAAAUAUUAGUGUCACGCCCCUAAAUAUAGGAAGGUUCAUUGAAAUGAAUAAAUAAGAAAUGUGUUGACACCAUUUUUUUGAUGAAAACGGGGUUGACUUGGAUUUUGAAAAUGAAAAUUAAAAUGACAGUCGCCACCAAUCCUUUUUGAUAAGGUGUGAUCGGAUCACCUUGAAAAGUGGUUGUUUUUAAUAAACGAUUUAAUUUUAUUAAAACAACGAGUUUGGUCCACGAAAUUCAGAAAAAUGGGUUCGGGAGUCGGUUACGUACGAGGAAGGAUUAGCGCCCUCGUGACGCCCAAAAAUUGGUACCUAGUUGAUUAGUUAAUGUCUUAAUGUCAAAAAUUGUAAACUUUGAAGAAUUUUAAAAAUACGAUCCUUAAUUUUUUUAAAAAGAAAACUUAUAUAAAUCAAGUUACUCGUUAAGACCCUCCCAUUUCAGAAAGAGAAAACGUCACGCCCAAUGCGUUAGGGCACGAUAUUUUACCUCUUCAGAAAUGAGCUUGUCUAAAAACUUACACAAUAAAAUUUUAAAGGGCAUUCAAUUGUUUAAGUCAUGUGAAAAAUUGCAACCCAAUACAUUAGGGCACAAUUUCUCAAAAUAUUAAACAUUGAAUAUUGCAUUUAUUUUGAAAAAUCCUCAUAUCCAAUGCGUUACGGCACAACGUACUGAAUUCUCGAUAAUGAGCUAUUUAUUUAUGUUUUUGUUUUAAAGAGCACCCUCGAUUAUUUAGAUCCAACGAAGAAAAUUGGAACCAAUACGUUAGGGUUCAAUUCUCUCGAAGAUCCCAAAUACCGAGUAUUACUUUUAUUUUGAAAUUUUCCGUUUUUGAUAAAUCCGAGUAAAAAUGGAUGCAAAAUAAUGAUAAUGAUGAUAAUGUAAGUAAAAUAACACGAGCAAAACAAAAUAUAAAUAAAUAAUAAGACUAAUAUAAAUACAAUCGUGCAGGCGCAAUAACAAAUAAGAAACAGAUAAAAACUAAAGCAAGAAAAAUAAUAAUAACAUACAUGUAAAUAAAUAACUGAACAAAAUUAACAAAAUUAAAAAAAAUAUAAAAGAUAUAUUUAUACAUAUAUAUGUAUAAAAUUAUGAAAAUAUUAAAAACAUAUGCAUGUACACAUUUUUGAAGCUAUUAUACAUGAAAAUAUAUGUAAGUAUAUAUGCACAUACAUGAAUACGUAUAGAACCAUCAUCAAAUAUAUAAAAGUAUAUAUAUAUAUAUGUAGGUAUAUAUGAAUCACAAAAUUUAAAGAAUAAUAUAUAUAAGAUAUAUAUUUUGGAAGUAUAAAGAAUAUGUAAGAAUUUAUAUAUACAUACAUUUAUAUAUGAAAAUGAAAUAUAUAGAUAUGUAUGUGGGUAUGUAUAAAUAUUAUAAAAUAUAAAAACAUAUAUGUGUACGCAUAUAUAUAAAAAUAUACAUAUGUAUAUAUACAUAUAUAUUAUGAAAAUAAAGCUAAAAAAAAACUAGUUAGUGUAUUAACAUAAUUGUAACGACUAAAUAAAGGAAAAUAAUAAUAAUAAUAAUAAUAAUAAUAAUAAUAACAUUAAAAUAAUUAACUAAAUAAUAAAAAUUGCUAAAAAAAGAUUAAAUCGAAAUAAAAACGAAAAUACUGGGCAAAUUCGAAAUAAAAAAAACGAAAAGGAUUAAAUUGCUACACGCAUCGAAAGAGGGAGACCAAAACGAUAAAUAAACCAAAGCCCCAAAACGCAGCGCUGCAACGGACUAAAAUGAAACAAAAGGAAAACUAUGUGGCUAAAUUAAAAUAAAAGAAAAUAAUGAAAAAGGGCCAAAUUGCAACUCGUUGCAAAGUCGGAGUGACUACGCGCGCAAAUAUCCCCUUUUAAGAAAACACGCGGAUCCUCCCCCAGGGUCGGGUCACCGAGCGGGUCAGGGCCAAAAUGGCGUCGUUUUGGCACCUGACCCUAAUGACAAAACGGCGCCAUUUCGUUUAGGGUAUUUAAACCUAAUUUUUCCCAAAAAACCUAAUUUCAGCCACCAUUUAAAAAAAAUAAAAAACUUUCUUUUUCUUUCAAAAAUCUGACUUUUGGGGUAAAAUUUUUUACUUUCUCUUGAUAUUUUGCGCGAAUAUGAAUUGUUUUUUUUUAAAAAAAUAUGUAUAAAAAUAAAAAUGAACGGGUAUAAAAAAGAAAAGAGAUGCGAAACUAAAAUCACAUUGGAGUGAAUCUGUUUGUUUUUUUUAAAUCUGUUUUUGUAUUAUUUAAAAGUGUUCUUACAAAAAAUCUAAAAAGGAACCCCCUAAAUUACAGAAAAAUUUGGCUUUUAUAGCCGAUUCUCCCCCCUCAUUCUUUGCUCUGUUGCUUUUCUAUUGCUUGCAGGGACUUGACGCGGUGCAUGUGGGGUGUCGGUGGCAAGUGGGGUGAUGGAACAUCCGACGGUGGCCGUGGCUGCUGGUGAUGCGACUGGUGUGCGGCGGCCAAGAGCUAGGGUUUCAGAAAAGCUGAAACCCUAGUUUGACUGUUGGGGUUGGGAUUUUGGGCCAAUUGGGUUAUUGGGCCUCGAGUUUGGGUUUGUAAUUGGGUUAAUUUAUUUUUUUUGGGUUUUAUGUUUGGGUUUAUUGAAUAUUGGGCUGAGGGUUAGUGGGUUAGGCCUAGGUGGGUUGGUUUGGGUUUUGGGCCCCGGGCUAAAAUUGGGCUUGUACAAAAUGAAUUAGGUUUAAUGGCUAAGUGUUAAAGAAUUCACCUUAGAGACUUAAGUUCGAGUUCCCUUCCUUCCUUUUUAUUUUUGGUAACUUGGUUUUAGGGUAAAGUCACACUCAAAAUAUAUACGACUAGGAAUUAAGAAUAAAUAAGAAAUGGGCAAUAGGUCCAAUGGUUAAGUGUUAAUCCCCUAUCUUAGAGAUCUUAGGUGUAAGUUUCCUUUUUCCCCUCCCAUUUUUCUUUUGGAUUUCGACAAUAAGGGGAAAUUUGCUGUGCCACCCCUAGGGUUUUCAAACCCGAGCUAUUUAAUCAUUCUUUUCCCAUUUGGAUUAGUUUUGCUUCUUUUCAAAUUCUUGUAAAAUUUCUACUCAUAUUAUAUUUCUCUUAUAUUUAUUUUCUUUUCCUUUCUUUUCAUUGUAACACCCUAAACUCGGUCGAAUAGGUUCGACCUAAAUUUGGAGAGCUACAUUAGCCACCGAAGUGACUUUCCAUUAACUCCCAAUCUAACCUCUAACACACCACUUACUUGCAACGUAUAUUAUGAUAAGUUAUAUCAUAACAAGGGUAUAAUAUAAUACAUAUAAUGUAAAUCAUGCAAGCUUAAAACCAAUGUAACACCCCAAACCCGGCUGAGUAGGUUCGACCCAAAUUUGGCGAGUUACAUUAGCCACCGAAGUGACUCUCCAUCAAUUCCCAACCUAACCUCCAACACACCACUUACUUGCAAUGUAUGUUAUGAUAAGUUAUAGCAUAACAGUGAAAUAAUAUCACAUAUAGAAUGUAAAUCAUGCAACCUUAUCAAACAAAAUGAGGGAACGGUUCGCAUGUUAAUUACUACGUAAGGCUACGUAGUAAGGUUAUCGCACCUAAGGGUUCACAAGCAUAUAGGGGGUCACAAACAAACAAAGGUCGCAGAAAAUAACACUUCGCAAAAAAAAUUGGCUCGCGUAUGAUGUUAAUACAUAUUUUGGAAAAAUUGAAAGAAUGCGACAUGGUACUCAUGCUAGGAGAAUUAAAGAAACAUCAAAGUAUAUUCAUGCAGAGAAGAAAUUAGUAAUAAAGGUUUAACUUCAUGGUUCGCAAAAUAUUAAAAGAAUAAACUUAAACUUUAGGGAAAUCGUUUCAUUAACAGAAUCAUAUAAUGAUAAAUCUAAACCUAUAUAAAUAAAACCCCAUCACCUAUUUCCCUAGGUUCGCAUUAUUUGUUCAGAGAUAGCCUCGCUAUUGCCAUUGGCGACUUACUUACCUGCAAAGUAAGAGAAGAGUGGGUGAGUUCAUUGCGAACUCGGUGAAUAAUCCGGAAUCAUCAACGUAUGAUUAAAAUACAGAGUUUAAAAUAGAAAGAAGACUUAGUAUGAAAAACUAUUGUAUCGCGUGUUGGGUUCGCAGUGAAUGCUAGGUUCGCAGUGAAUGUGCGAGACCCAGUUUAUAGAACCUGCUUGUCAUAAAAUCAUAUAAGUUUGAAAAUAGUUUUGCAUGUACUUACUGAAAAUCAUACUUAAAAACUUAGCUUGUUCUUGUUUGAAAAUGGAUCUUUUAUAGAAUGAAACAUGCUCACAUACUUAUCUUAUCGGAAUGGCUGAGGAAUAUAAAAUAUGUUCUUGCACUUUUCUUAACUUACUUAUAUUAUCUUGUCUUAUUUUGUUGGAUAUGUGGAUCUCUUUAUAACGCCUCAGAAUGACUCAAAGAGUCCUUAAGAUGUCCCAUAAGUGUAACAUAAGCUAAACACUCUCUUGUACACCAACAUGUCCUAUUGAAUGGAGCAUAGCUUGGCGUUCCCUUAUCUCUCCACAUGUCCCAAAGCCUCAAUGCCCAAAUCACAAAACUUAUUGGUGAGUACUCACAAUCCUUUGGUAUACAAAUAUAUCCAAUAUAUAAGCUCACAAAGGCACUCGUAUAGAAACUUAGCACAUAGAGCUAGAAAAAACAUAGCUUAUAGAACUGUAUUUUUAAAACAUGCUUUAAAACAUAGGCUUGCAUAGGAGCAUGCGUAACACAUAUCUUUAAAACAUAGCUUAAAACAUAUCUUGAAAACAAAUUAUCAGAACUUUUAAAAACAUAGUUUUAUAGGAAAAAAAACUUACUCUUGGAACUUAGUUUUUAAAAAAAAAAGAUUCUUAGAAAACAUAACAGUUCACACACAAGUUACGAAACCUGAGCAUUCAUACUAAAAAACAUGAUAGUUACCACACUUAUGGCAAUUCUUAACCACUCAUCGAUAAAACUGAAAAUUUAAAUGAGUUUUGCCUUGCCUUUAUCCUUGCUGUAGAUAGUCUGGUUGGUUCGUAACAUGCAUAAACACACAAAUUACUUCAAUAGACAAAACUUACGAACUUCACACAUGCAAGCGAACCUAGCUUUCUGGACAAUAAACCCUAAUAGGAAAAAUGCUUACCUUGGUUGCUACGAAUUUGGUUCAGAACAAAGACUUGACAACAAAAUAACGAUGAAAGAAUUUUUCCUAGAAUAAGGAUUGUAUUUAUAGGCACUAAGUAUCUUAGUGACCUUAGGAUACCCUAUUUGACUUAGGAACCCUCUACGGUUUAAAAGAAGGUUACGUGCACGAAAAGUAUCCUAGAUACACAAUAUAUUUAUUUCCUAAGUUUAGUCUAACUUGACUUUUGAUUGGCGAACCCCUAGUUUGUAACUCAAUUGUUGAACCCCAGCUCACUAAACAGAUUGGAGAACACAACUUUCAAUGAAUCUAGCGAACCUCUUACCACAUCAUUUGGCGUGCAGCAGUUUGCUAGAACACUGGCAAACUCCUUACUGGUAUCCCCUUUGGUGAACCCUAGUUUGCUGAAACACUAGUGAACCCUCACUUGUAAGGUCAAAACUUCUAGAUCAGGUUUCAGGAUGUUACAAACACCAUAUUUUUAUCAUAAUUGUUGUUGAUUAUUUUUCUUUCCUGAAUCAAAUCAUCUUUCAUUAAAUUAUUUUUCUAUUAGUUUUGUAAUUGUCGUCAAUAGCACCUCUAUAUUUGCCAAGAAACAAACCGAAUUUAGGUGAAUCAGACCGAAAUAAAGUGUGAAGAACAUCAACCGGAACUGUGGUGAAAGGUGUGUGUCUUUUCCAAGUGAAUCAGUGGUGAUCUGUGUACGAUUAAGGCCACAUGGGCUAUGCGUGUGGUCCACCAACUACCACACAACCAUGUGCACUUGUAGAUUUUAGGGACUUCAUGAACCAUACGGCCUCAGCCAGUUACACGAUCGUGUCUUUCCUGCAAGGUUUAUCAUUUUCCACAUGGAAUCAUGCUGUUACAUGACCGUCUAACCCUUACACAGGGUCUUACCCUUCUCACAUGGCCUGGCCAUACAGCCGUGUGACCCUGUUUUACAGUUUUGACCAAAAAUUUAUCAUAUGUUCAAUUUAGUCCUCGUUUAUCCCUUGAAUUAUUUUAGAGUUUUCAUUCACUCAAUUAAGUCCUUGAUAUUGUGUUUAUUCUAGAAUCUGUGAUUUAAUGACUAAAUUCCUAUUUUUAUAUUGUAUGAGAUGUGAAUAUUACAUGCCUACUGUCAUUGUAAUACUGAUAAACUAUUAAUGAUAAUAUUGUUACCACCCUAUUGAGUACAUGUUAAGCAUGUCUACUGCUAAUGUUGAACUGAAUACAUGAUAAGCAUGUCUAUUAUUAUUAUUUUUUGUAUUGUUCUAUUACAAAGCAUGCCAUAUUGCAUUGCAUGGGGUGGGACGAUAUGUAUGGAGAAAGGGUGACAGUUUAAUAAUCUGCAACCCAGUGGUGGCUCGUCCACAAACCCAAUGGCAGUUUAUCUGCAAAUGUUUUAACUAAAAAUACUGGUUGUUUAUCCGCAAUUUUUACAACGAAGUGGUAGUUUAUAUACAAAUCAGUGGUGAUUUAUCCACAACUCGGUGUGUAUGGAUGGAUGAGUUCUGGGGAACUCAUAGUGUGGUGUGUAGUGAAGUUGGGUAGGACCUUUUCUGAUAAACUGAAAUUGCAUUGCCAUUCAUAAACAUGUGCAUACAAACCAUGAAUUCUAAAUAUUAUAGUGAAGUGUUGAAUUGGAAAACCGAUAUUGUGAAUUGCUAUACGAUUGUGGUUAUUCUAAGAAUUGUUAUUUCGUAUGCUUUGACCACUAUGUUACACCGAUUUUCUUGUGAUAUGACUCACAUUGAGCUUAAGUUCACCCCCUUUUAAUUUCCAUCUUUAUAGAUAACCCACCAGGUUAGGACAUAGACACAACAUCUGGAAGGUCUUGGCUCAGAUAAAUUUUUUUAUUAAAAGUAUUUUAGACUUAUUAUUAUUUCUAUUAUUUGGAAUUGUAUUGUUUUAUUCAAACUUUGGCACGAGACUUAAGUUUUGAGUUUAUUUGACAUGCAUGAAAUUUAAUUUGAAUAUUAGGAUAUUGAAACAUGGAUUUUAAACUAAUUAUGCAUGAAAUUUUGGUUUCGCCAUCAUUAAAAAUAUUUUGAAUAUCAUUUUUCCGCUACGAUAUUAUGAAAAUAAGAAUUUGAAAAAAGUAAAUGAAUUGGAAAUCAACUUUUACUAAGUAAACUUUAAAAUCCAUUGUUUUUUGGAAACUUUUAUUUUUUAGUGAAAACAUGAUUACACGCAAAGUUUUUCUUCAAUAAUAAGCAAAUGUUUUAAACAACUGUUUUAUAAAAACUCCGAUAGUUGUAGUAGGCCAUUUCGGUAGCCAAUGCAAUCUUUUGAAUUCAGUCUUAACGUUUAGGCCGAGUUGAGGAAGUUACUAUUAGCAACUUAACAUUAAUUUGAACAUUAAAUGUUGGUCCAAACUUGACACGAAAUAUAUUUAGAAUACAUAAAUCAAAAAAUUAGUAAGUUGGCUACUUGGGUUAAUUUAUUGGUUUGACACAACAUAUCCUAUAGUAAUUCAAUGGGAUUAGAACAUCCCAACUCCUAGUUGAUUUAAUUGCUAGGUUAUCUAAGUCCACGCUUGCAAUUAUUGCUUAAAGCAUUUGUUUAAUAAAAUCUUAAAUUCCAAUGGAGGUGCUUUUUCAUAAUAUGAGGUAACCUAAGAAAAAGGAAAAAGUUGAACAUAUUGUUAAGUUAAAAUUGAACAAAUUAAGGCAAAGUGUACAAAUGGAGUGUCAUCAUUCAAAUCGGUCCUUCUCUUAAUUGUCAUAAGCCAAUUAGGUAAGCCAGAUUCUUUUAAUAAAAAGUAAAGAUUUCAUGGCAUCCCUAAAGCAUUGCAAAUUUUUUGUAAGCAUUAAAAUGGCAUUAGUUGGUACAAUACUGGUAUUGAUCUGUAUAUAUUGCUUCGGUUUUGAUCAGUACCAAAUAGUUUAUAUUUCGUUCAAUCAAAAUUUUGUUAUGUUUGAUUAUUUCGGUGUGUUUCGACCUAUUUUGGUCAAUAUCGGCUUGUACUAGCUAGUAUAAAAUUUGAUAUUUUAAACUAAAUUUUAAAAUUUUUUAAUCUUAAUUAUUUUAAUUUUGGCUAAAGGGUCUUCAAAGCCCUUGAACAUUAAAAUUUCAAUCAAUUAAGCCCAUCACACAUUAAAGUUAACGAUCAACCAUGAAAGAGCAACAAUAGCCAUUAUGAGCAAUUGUUUUCACCACGUGGCAUGUUAGACUGUACCACGUGACGAAAUAUGGUGUUUUAAAUUUAAAACCAUUAAAACUAUAGAAAAUCAUAAAAUAUUAAAAAAUUACAAAAGUUAUAAAAUUAUAUAAAAAUGAACAAAAUUAUAAAAAGUAGUAUAAAUGAUACAAAAAUUAUAUAAAUUAUUAAAAAAUUGCAAAAAGAAAACAUUAAAAAUAAGCUUAAAAUAAGAAUAUAUAAAAAAAUGUAAAAAAAAAAAAUUAGAAACUAAGUUUCGGAUACACAGCUCUGGCUGUAUUUUUCAUAAAUAAAAGCUUGGUUGAGAUUUUAGAUUUGGUAUAAAUACAAUAAAUAUAAUAUUUAUAGUAGUAAACAAGUGAAUGAAAUUAAGUAAUUGUGAUUGAGAUUCACCAUGAUUAUAUUUAUAGGAAUAAAAUAUUCCUAUAUAUAAUGAAAGUGUAAUUGAAUAAUAAAAUUCAUAUUAAUACAAGUUGCUUUAAAACAAAAGUAAAUAAUUUGAUAUUGAUCUUGUGAAACAAUUGAAUUUUGGUUUUGUUAUGGGAUUAAAUUAGCAAUUAAUCCUUUUUAAGAAUUUAGAGAACGAAUUAGAUAAGUUAGACAUAAAAGUAGAAGAGUAAAAAGAAAGGAAGUAGUGGGUAGAUUAACAUAAUUAGGAGUUUAAAUGAUAUGAUAAUAAUUAAAGCUUUAAUUUAGUUAAGGUAAUUAGAAAUGUUUGAUCAUAUUUUAGAUGUUAAUUGAAAUUAAACGAGUUAAUAGGUCGAAUACAAGUUUAUAUUUUAGUUAAGAUAAUUAAGAGUUUAACUAGAAUUAAAAAAAAAUAAGAAGCACAUUGAAUCGUCGAUGAAUUGAUUUGAUUCUAAAUCCAAACUCAAGAGAGUAGGAACAUAAUCCAUUGGAAACAACACUUUUAAGUUGUUUAAAUUUUUGAGAAAGAAAAACACUUUCAACCUUUUUUUUAAUCCCCACUCUAUCCACCAACCUACUCGUUGCUUUAUAAGUCAAAAUCGGGAAAUUAAAUAUUACACUAUUACUAAUUCGGUUAAAUUGGUUAAUUCGGUCAAAUGAAUAUUAUCGAUUUUUUGAUAUGUUUUUUUACUUGUUUUAACCAAAAAAAUAAAACAUAUAAAUUUCGGUUAAUUUGAUUAACCGGCCGAAUUAAUCGAAAUAUUUCGAUUUGGUUAAUGGUUAAAGAUACUAAUUCGAUUCGGUUAACUGAUCGGUUAAUUGUUUGAGCACCCCUAAAAAUAAGUCAUGGGACCAACAUACUGACUUCCAUACAAUUGUUAGGUAUAUAUAGCAACUCAUAAGUAUGAGUAGAAUUAGUACGCAGUACCUUAGAUUCAUUGAGCCACAUUUCAAAGUUUCCCAUGAUCUCUUUUGCUGUCAAUGAUAUAAUAAACUUUUUGUAUUCACAAUUAUGUUCACAAUAUAAAACAUAAUUGGUCGACUUGAAUACAAUUAAAUGAGACACUCUAAUGUUCUUUCCUUUUCCUCAAAUCUCUCUAUUUCAAUUCAACUACUCUCUAGAUAUGUCCCGUUAGAUUGAAUCAUACAUGAUCAUCGAUAGCCUACUAAAAUAGCUAAUAUUGAUGUAAAACUUCAAGAAACAGUUAAAGGUCAUGAGGGUACUUAGUAUAGAUCUUCAGUUGAUCUCAUGGGUUUCACACAACAUAGAAGCAGAGAUCAAAUCUUCUAUUACCCAUUUUGUUCGUAUAAUACACAUGUAGUAUGAAACACAUGCUAUGGUAUUACUCUCACUUUCCUUGAAGUGUAUGUCUUUAUCAAAAAAUCAAUACCACAUAGGUGAUAAUUCAAAUACACUUAGUAUCUAACUCGAGUCCACAACUUUAUUUUCUUAAUAGAUUCAACAACAAGACUUUCACCUGGAAUAAAAGACAUAUAAAGUGAAAAAUUCAUAUUUAAAUUAUCAAACAUAAAUCAAAUUGAUUAUAAUUAUAUCAUUUUGCAUAUAGCUCAUGUCGUGCAAGUGCACACUUUAGCCCCAACAAGUUUGGACCUAUGCCCUUCAUGCAUGCAAGGCAAGAUUCCAAACAUAAUCAUUCAAUCAUCAUUUAUGUGGGUUCUCAUAUAUAUACACAUCUCACACUUGGUAUUUAACCAAUGUGGGAUCUAAGCUUUUCUUUUCCUCAACAAAUAUUCACAAGUAGCUUACUUUGAGCACCAAUUUCUCAUUCAUCACUCAACCAUUUUGAGCAUAUGAUAUACUGUUGUAAAGGUCUCAUGGAGUAGAAUAUAAAAUCAUAAUUUUAUGAUUCAACUCUCAACAUUUACCAAUUAAAAAUAUGCCUCAAAGUUCCCAUAAAUUACAAAUUUUCCAACAACUUUUGAAUGCAUUAAUCAUUAUCAACAUUAACUCAAGUGAGGACAAGAAUAUAUUAUUCAACUUGCAAUCCUAGAGUUUUGACAUUCCUUUAAAAAAUCUCUAGGAAUCGGUUUUGUAAACUGAUUUGCAAUCCUCUUAUGCAUAGACUUUCUCUCUUGUUGUGAGAUUUACCUUCACACUUAUUUUUUCCAAUAUACUAACUUUAGAUAUUUGGAGUUUGGAGUUGGUCAAACAGAUGUAAAAGCUACCUUUUCCAAAUGAAAAUCUGGAAUUUACACAGACAAAGUAGAUUUCAUUGACAAAGGUGAAAUGCAUAGUCUGGGCAAGUUAUGAAGAUCAAUUUUAUGAUCUUAAGCGAUUUUCCAGAUAGUGAUAUGCUAUUUUUUUUAAUUAAGAAACUGUUUAGUUUGAUUUAAUCAUAAUUGAUAAAGACCACUUUACUCAUGUUAAAAGAAGGAAAGAAAAUUUUGUAACUAUGUCAUUUUAUGUGGGUGACAUGUUGUUGGCCGCAAAUGAAUUAGUGCUUAUCAUUAUGGGUUAUGCAAGACUACAUGUCAAUUCAUACGAAUGUGUCCUUUUUUCAAUGUUGUGAGUAGCAUCAUAUAUGUUAUGAUGUACAUAAAGCAAAGUAUCUCUUGUAUAGUUGGAUUCAAGACACUCCAAUCCAAACUCAUUGCAAAACAAUGAAAAUGAUAUUGAGGUAUUGAAAAGACACUAUGGAUUUUCACCAUGCUAUCUAAUUGUGAAUACAAAUACCUAUUAAUUAAAAGGAGAUUUAGAUGAAAUAUUGAAAUCUAUCUCCACACAUGUGUUCGUAUUUGAUAAUGGAGUGAACUCUUAAAGUAGUAAGAAAUAAACUUGUAUAGCAUGGUCUAUUAUUGAUGCUGAAAUUGGCAUUUUUAGCGAUGGUUCAAGAGAGUGUUUGGGUUAAAAUAAUCACGAUUAAUAUAGUUACGUUAAAGCAAAAUAUCUUCUAUAGUUGGAUUCAACAUAGUCCAAUCCAAACUUAUUGCAAAACAAUGAAAAUGAUUUUGAGGUCUUUUAUUGUUCUCUCUUGUAUAGUUUGCAUCUCAAGGCACUUUCUUGUUGAUUACGAUGAACAAAAAACGGUUGCAAGCUCUGGGACGAGCAAGAUCAAUAUCUUUAGAGAUCAAAUGAUGGUUAGUAUACAAAUUUAAAAACUAGUUUUUAUAAUUUCAUUUUCAUAUAGUUUUUAUUUAUUUUUUAUUAUAAAUUUUAUGCUUUUUAUAAUAUUUUAUAUGUUUUAGUAUUUUUACAAUAUUUUAAUAACUUUCUAUCUUUUUAAAUAUUUAUUACCAUUUUUAUUUUUAAUUCAAAUAAUUUAUUUUUUUCCAAUUUUCUAUAUUUUAUAAUAUUUUUAAUAAUAUUUUAUAUAUUUAAAUAUUUUUUCAUAAUUUUAAUUUUUUUAAAUUUUUCAUAAUUUAUAUGUUUUUUUAAUUUUUAUUUUAGUACUUUUUAAUGCUUUUCACAAUUUUUAAUAAUUUUUAUAAUUUAUAUUUUUUUUUCGUUUAUAAUCAUUUUUAUAAUUUAUAUAUAUAUCUGCAAUUUUAUAUAUUUUAUAAUUUUUGCAAUUUUUAUAUUUUAUAAAAUAAUUUUGUAAUACUCCAAACUCGGCCUUAACGUUAUGACCAAAUCUAGAGAUGCUAUGAAGAUACAUUAAAAAAAAUCUAGAAUCUGUUGAUUUUAUAAAAUGAUACUUGCCCUUAUUUAGUAAAAUCUGAGUUUAUUUGAGAAAUUUAUCGUUUUGAUGGGUUUGUCAAUUAUUUACUCAUAAAACUAGUCGAAUCCAAUUUGAAAACACGAUUUUUUUUGUUGUUGUAAAAUCCAUUAUUCAACAAUUCAAUUUUCAACCCACCAACGAGGAAAUCACACAGGACUUCCUGCUAACCUACCAUCUUUUUUCAAGAGUUCAAACCCAAUCCAACACCACCAACUCGACAGCACAUUAAGGGCUAACAAAAAUAAAUUAGAGACUCAAACGAUAAAUUAACAUCUUAUCGUUGAACUAGUAAACUCAUUCUAUCACAAAUUGAUCAAAAAUAGUAUUUAAGUGGUAAGGAACAAGAUAAGGAUAAAAGACAAAAAUAAUAAAAUUUCUUAAAAAUGAGAUUUGAACCCUAAUCAGUAAAACAAAUACUUAUUCAUGACAUAAAUUAACAAAUUAAAAAUUCAUAUUUUUGGGUCUUAAAAGUUUUUAAUAAAUUAUAAUUACUUGAUUCCAGUUUCUUUAUUAUGCCCAAAUUUAAGAUUAAGCCCUAUAUUUUAAUUUUGACAUAAUUUGAUUUAUUUAUUUUUAUAAUGUCAUUAGUUAUCUUAAAUCGCUAACAUUAUUAGCUAUGCCAAGUAAAAUAACAUCGCGUAUUUUUUUUCUUAAAAUCAUCACUUCUAACUAAAUAAUGGCUUAAUCACUUUUUUAACUAAUUAUACUAACAUAGAUUUUUUUUAGUUGGAACGAGUAUGUUUAAGGAAAAAUCACCUCAACACUUUACUUGAAAUUAGUAAUCACAUUAAUUAUUUGGACUAACUAAAUCAUUACUGAAUCACCUUCUAACUAAUUAUAGUAAUGUAUAUAUUUAAGAAAAAGCUCACUUUAAUGUUUUAACUGAAAUUAUUAACCGUGUUAAUUACUUAAACUAACUAAUGAAAAAUAUUUCAAAUUAAUUUAUACUGAAUAACUCUCAAAUCCAAGUAUAAUAAAAUAAUAUGACUAACUCAAACUUGGCGUUGAAUUGAGUUUGGGAGUAAAAUAAUCACAUCACUCAUUGGCAAAGCAUGACUGUGAUUAUGAUAUGGUUUUUCGAAGUAUAACUAUGGUGGAGUUGAUAGCAUUGAUUAGAAUACCUUUAUAAAUGAAUAUAUAACAUUUAAUCAUGUAUAUAUUUUUAAUAAUUUAAUAACUUAAAAAAACACCACACUUUAUUAUAUAUGUAAAAUGUAAAUAGAAGCUACAUUCUUAUUUCAUGAAAUAACAUCAUAGAGAAUGUGAUGGCAGAGUUCAUUCUCAGUAAUAUAUGUGAUACUAAUUAGGAAUCAAACUGUCUUCAAUGGCUGGAUGGAGGUGGAGGUGGAGGUGGAGACAUGAAAGGAAUGGAAGGCAAGCUGCUACUGGGAAGUGGUGGAAGAACAGUGAUAGGCUUAGGCUAAGAUGGUGGGAUUGUUGGUAGCUUCGGGAUUCAAGGCAAUGGAGGUAUGCAGGGUUGAGCUGAGAAUGAUGGUAGAUCUAGGAUUGAAGGCAAUGGAAGUAUGUUGGGCAACUUACGAAGUGGUGGUAGUUCUAAGUUCUGGGAUUGAAGGAAAUGGUGGUGGUUCUGGGAUUAAAGGAAGUGGUGACAUCGGAGGUGGCAAUGGUACCGGUAAAUAUGCAGAUGGCAAUGGUACUGGUAAAAAUGGAGGUGGCAAUGGUAUUGGCGACAAUGGAGGUAGCAAUGGUACUGGUGACAAUGGUAUUGGCGACAAUGGAGGUGGCAAUGGUAUUGGUGGAAAUGGAGGUGGCACUUGCUGAAGAUUUCGGGUUGCUAGGCUAACCUCCAUGCUUGAAAAACCCAAGGAAAUGAAGCAGGCUAAUAAAAUGAAAACGUUGGAAGCUGCCAUUUUUUUUUGGAGAGAUGAACUAAAGAUUGAAGAUUUGAGUUGAGGAAAGCAGGAUUGGUUUCGGGUAUUUAUAGCCACAUUUGAAGGAGUUUUUUAAUUAUUUGUUUGAGAUAUUACUCCCCUACUUAGCUUACUACCUUC
This 16332-nucleotide long non-coding RNA is filed under the name Gossypium barbadense (sea-island cotton). RNAcentral's name for it is "long non-coding RNA (GBAR_LNC014561)". Lineage: Eukaryota; Viridiplantae; Streptophyta; Magnoliopsida; Malvales; Malvaceae. The record is from RNAcentral.